AUUGGACAAUACAACGUGUGGAUUAUCACAUUGUUUUACUACAAUUUGAUGAACUCCCAAAACAAACGAAGUUCAAGGAUUUUUUGGACAGCAGAGUCACCUACAUCUAUGGUGAGUUUUGUUCUAUUAUAAAUAACUCUCGUUAAGUGUUAGGAGUAAGAAUGUAAUGACUGUUUUCGCAAGUUCUAAACCAUUGGCGGGAAAACAAGUUAUAGAAACAGAGCUUGAAAUAAACAGCGUUGUCCUGAGAUGAAAUACCUACAGUAACCCUUGUUUCUUCGUGUGUCCACAAGUUUGGUUGCUUUCUAUUUUUUGUUUCUUUGUUUAUCCUCAAUUUGGGAUGUUCGCAUAUCAACAGUUUAACAGGUGUGGUAACAUCGUUAGCUAACUUGUCUAAAUUGUGUUUCUUAGGGUAUCAACAAGUUUGAAUUUUAUAAUAUGGGCUUACUCCUUGUAACUUUUAUCAACUGAUACGUAACGUUGGCUAAAUCGUGUUUCUUUGUGUAACGUUAUCCACAUGUGGACUUGUUUCAAUUCCGUUAAUGAGGUGUCUGUGUAUCCACAUUGUUUUUAGCUAGCCUGUGUGUCUUAUGCUGCCGUUUUUUUUAACUUAUUUUAUAAACAUUGCUUUCAGGUGAUGCCGUUUUCUGUAGUAUUGUUCCCGGAGGAGGAUGACUGUGUGGCAGCAGUUCCACGCCAGUACUCCAAGGCACCAGAGAGGUACUCCAUGCCACCAUGUAAAGGAUGGCUACAUAAGUGUGGGUUCAUUCACUUAACCCAGAUGCUUAACUUGUUAUUAAAGCAUGUUUCUUCCAAUUUAAUUUGUCAAUUUCAAUUUAUUUUUAAGGGCAAAAAGGCAGAGGUAGGGGGACGUUUUAGCUCUGCACAAGAAGGUAAGAAUGAACAUUUUGGCGGGCACUGCGAUUUGAGUUCUGAUUAUAAAAUAACCAGAUAUUUAGGACUGAAUAAUUAACUGUUUGUCUUUACUUUCUGAACAUUUAGAAAAGAUCAAGUGGCUGACUGAAGAGAAGGUCGAGCUGAGGGCACAGCUGGCUCUACAAUCAGGUAAAAACAAGACUAUUGUUACGCUAGCAUCUUGUCUUAAUGAAACUGAAUUUGUCUGAACGUGUGCCCUUUCCUGAAAUGCAAUACUGUACAGCCUUUCUGAAAUUACAUGUAUAUGGCAGUUUUGUUUAUUUCACUAUUAAGCUAUUGACAUUGUUCUUUUUAGCUUCUGAUAAACGUCUGACUGAAAAUAUUGUCAAGCCGAGGGCACAGCUGCCUCUACAAUCAGUUAAAAACAAGACUAUAGUUGCACUAGCAUGUUGUCUUCAUGAAACAUUUAAUUUGUCUUGAAUGUCAUGCAAUUCUCAAAAUUAUGUCAGACCAUUUAAGUACAAUAUCUGUUUGCUGUAUUACAGGAACCAUAAGGAAGAAUCUUUCCAACCGGGAUGCCACUGAUGAGGCUGUCCAGAACCAGGUCCCCAGGUACCAGAAAGGGGCAGCUGACCGUGCAGGUGGGAAAUUUCGCGGCGGUACAAGGGACCUGCCGUGAAUAUGAAUGACAUCUCCAGCACAGCCAAUAUUGCUGCUAAGCUGCAGUACUGUAUUUAUUUUUGAACUGCUGCUAUGUACAGUGUUAUAUAUACGAUUGCAUUAUCCUCUUAAUAUAUUUAUAGCUCUGUGAAUGUUCUUGAUUCUGACUGUAGUUGUAGUGUUAUGCCACCA
Molecule: long non-coding RNA, 1728 nt
Organism: Esox lucius (northern pike)
Lineage: Eukaryota; Metazoa; Chordata; Actinopteri; Esociformes; Esocidae
Source: Ensembl